Molecule: non-coding RNA, 24 nt
Filed under: Arabidopsis thaliana (thale cress)
Lineage: Eukaryota; Viridiplantae; Streptophyta; Magnoliopsida; Brassicales; Brassicaceae
Source: RNAcentral
ACGAGCAGGAGCCCCGGCGUUGGC